UACGGAAGGCAGCAGUGGGGAAUAUUGCACAAUGGGCGAAAGCCUGAUGCAGCUAUGCCGCGUGUAUGAAGAAGGCCUUAGGGUUGUAAAGUACUUUCAUCGGGGAGGAAAAAACAAAACUAAUAAUUUUAUUUCUUGACGUUACCCGAAAAAGAAGCACCGGCUAACUCCGUGCCAGCAGCCGCGGUAAUACGGAGGGUGCUAGCGUUAAUCAGAAUUACUGGGCGUAAAGAGCACGUAGGUGGUUUUUUUAAGUCAGAUGUGAAAUCCCUGGGCUUAACCUGGAACUGCAUUUUGAAACUGAAAUACUAGAGUAUCGUAGAGGGAGGUAGAAUUCUAGGUGUAGCGGUGAAAUGCGUAGAUAUCUGGAGGAAUACCUGUGGCGAAAGCGGCCUCCUAAACGAAUACUGACACUGAGGUGCGAAAGCGUUGGGGAGCAAACAGGGAUUUAGAUACC
This 457-nucleotide ribosomal RNA is filed under the name uncultured bacterium. RNAcentral describes it as "bacterial SSU rRNA". It matches the Rfam family "Bacterial small subunit ribosomal RNA", at positions 340 to 786 of the family's 1533-position model. The record is from RNAcentral.